CCGAGGGUGCCACAAGACCUGCUAAAUCUUUAAUCUGGAAAUAAAUACCAGCCCCCUC
RNAcentral lists this transfer RNA (58 nucleotides) under Bogertophis subocularis. RNAcentral's name for it is "tRNA-Ser". Lineage: Eukaryota; Metazoa; Chordata; Lepidosauria; Squamata; Colubridae. The record is from RNAcentral.